UACGGGGGGAGCAAGCGUUGUUCGGAUUUACUGGGCGUAAAGGGCGCGGUAGGCGGUCGUGACAAGUCACUUGUGAAAUCUCCGGGCUUAACUCGGAACGGUCAAGUGAUACUGUCGGACUAGAGUACAGAAGGGGCAACUGGAAUUCUCGGGUGUAGCGGUGAAAUGCGUAGAUAUCAAGAGGAACACCUGAGGCGAAGGCGGGUUGCUAGGCUGACACUGACGCUGAGGCGCGAAAGCUAGGGUAGCAAACGGG
Molecule: ribosomal RNA, 256 nt
Filed under: uncultured bacterium
Lineage: Bacteria
Description: partial 16S ribosomal RNA
Rfam family: Bacterial small subunit ribosomal RNA
Source: RNAcentral